This 261-nucleotide long non-coding RNA is filed under the name Rattus norvegicus (Norway rat). RNAcentral describes it as "long non-coding RNA NONRATT013285". The record is from RNAcentral. Lineage: Eukaryota; Metazoa; Chordata; Mammalia; Rodentia; Muridae.
GCGGUUUGCAGAGCAGAAGAGGCUCAGCCAAAUGCACCGUGCUGUCAAGUUCAGCAUCGAAGGCAACAGAAUGCCCCUGUAGUCCUGGCCCUUCCACAUUUCAGGCAACCUCCAAGAAAGGUAUCAGUCGGCUGGAUAAACAGAUGAGAAAGUUCACAGAUAUCAGGAAAAAAAGCAGAUCUGCACAUGCAGUGAAAAUCAGCAUCGAGGGCAAUAAAAUGCCAUUGUGACCUUGCCUGGGACGUGUCCCCAUCUCUAAAA